UUGACUUUCAUGGGACAGAGUCUCAGUACCUUUAAAAAAUUGAUACAUAGAAUUUAACAUAAAAAUAUAUAAGCCAGAGGUUGCCCACAUAGUUAGAUCCAAAUGAGGCUUUCGUUAAAUUGGCAAGUUUUGUUGGUGAGGGGUAGGAGGAUGGAAUUAUUGUGAGAUUAUUUCCAGCCAAGGAAUUGACACCUUCAAACUGGGACAUGCUUGUGUGGUGCAGUCUAUAGGAAAGAGAAACAAUACAUGUGGGUGCUCAUACAUGAAUACAUAUAUACAUAUAUAUGGGGAUCGUCGGCCAACGUUGUCAAUUUAAGGUUAUCCUUACAACAUAUUGUGACCGUCUAUUUCGUUUGUAGUUUAAUUUUCAGUAUUCCGCAGUAUUAAUCGAGACGAAUUACCAAAAUACUCUUCUAUAAUUCUUUCGUCCGCACCAUUAAACUGCGAACGCUAAAAAUUUUUUAACAUCCUCAAUAUUAAACUACGGAUACUGAAAAACUUAAAUAAAAAAAAAGACGUGAUACUUUUUUUAUUCCUUGGUAAUACUAGGGUUAAAGUAUAUCUGGACAUUCUAGUGUUGCUAAUGUUUAUUCCUCCUCCUACUACUCAUCAAUUGAAGAUUAGUCGACUGUUGUUCUAUGUAUGGUGCGUAGAAUUUGCCGUUUGCUGUUUGUAUGUUUGUUUGAUAUAUAUAGCUAGCCAUCUCUUUUGGUCUUUUUUUUUUUAUAUAUAUAAAAAAAAUGAAAAAUCCAGCAUUACAGUUUCUCACUUUCACUCUAUUGAACAGAGGAGGUGAAGUUUUAAACAUAACGAGAUGAACUCAAAGAUUGUUAAACAGGAUCUUGAUAGAAUCAGUGGCUUCUCGAGUCUGAUCAUCUCACAGGUUCCGGUGGAUGAAGUGGUAAGAACAAGCGUGUUACUCUUGGAAGUAUGCGACUCGUCUUGAUAUAAAUCCAAUGAAGAUGGUCAGGCUAUGAAUAAUGUGGAUGAAAGGGAAUUAGAGAUGGGGAGAAUGAUAGGAGUAAGGUGGAGGAGAGAGAAUGGAGAAGGAAAGGACUGAAGAAAAAUGUUUUAAAAAAAAAGACAGGCUCUGCAGAAUCUAAAUUGACCGGUCAUACUUAACGUACGUAUUUUAAUAACUUUUAUAAUUAAAGUAUUUUGGUCAUUUGUCCCGUCCGCAAUAUUAAACUGUCUAAUACUGCGGACAAAAGUAUUAACCAUUCUAUCUAUGGAUGGACGAUCA
Molecule: long non-coding RNA, 1243 nt
Filed under: Panax ginseng (ginseng)
Lineage: Eukaryota; Viridiplantae; Streptophyta; Magnoliopsida; Apiales; Araliaceae
Description: long non-coding RNA (PGIN_LNC011475)
Source: RNAcentral